UAAAAACCAAUCACAUUUGCUAGAGAAUAUAGAUUUGAAGUGCCUCCUUCAAUUGCUUUGUCAAAAACAAACUUUGCGAGCUUUGGGAUAACCUUUGAAUUAGUCUCAUAAUUCGAAGGUAAAUCCAUGUCGAAGAAGAGAUUGUUGUAACACGUGCAUUAUUCCAACUACUUCGCCAAAAUUAGUCCAUGAAUUAAGGUGUGACAAUGAAAAAUAUACCAGGUUUCAAGAAUGGACUAAAAUGUGUUGAGUGAAUAAGAUAUUAACAGAAAAGCCAACAGUUAAAUUGAUGUGGUAACAAUGACUAAAUCUCUAAAUAAAAUUUUAAAGGAGGUAAGAUACUUGAUACUCGAAAGACUAUUGGCUUUGGUGACUUUCAAGCAGUUUCAGUACUCUACCCAAUUGACAUGUUCCUUUGAGCUAUAAAGUAUUUAAUUGGUUUAAGAUGGAACAACCCAAAUCGACCCAUUUCCACUCUUAUACAAACUGUAUUGUCAAUUUCAUAUCAUAAUUAUUUUUCCAAAUUCAAAAUUA
RNAcentral lists this long non-coding RNA (534 nucleotides) under Helianthus annuus (common sunflower). RNAcentral describes it as "sRNA HanXRQr2_Chr14g0621261". Lineage: Eukaryota; Viridiplantae; Streptophyta; Magnoliopsida; Asterales; Asteraceae. The record is from RNAcentral.